RNAcentral lists this ribosomal RNA (887 nucleotides) under uncultured bacterium. Its description in RNAcentral is "bacterial SSU rRNA". It matches the Rfam family "Bacterial small subunit ribosomal RNA", at positions 52 to 916 of the family's 1533-position model. The record is from RNAcentral.
CACAUGCAAGUCGAACGAGAAAGUUCCUUCGGGGACGAGUAAAGUNGCGCACGGGUGAGUAACGCGUAGAUAAUCUGUCCAGGUGUUUGGGAUAGCCCUUCGAAAGGGGGAUUAAUACCGAAUACGUUGGUCUGUCAUAAGACGGAUUAAGAAAGGUGGCCUCUAUUUAUAAGCUAUCGCAUUUGGAGGAGUCUGCGUACCAUUAGUUUGUUGGUGGGGUAAUGGCCUACCAAGACUUCGAUGGUUAGCGGGUCUGAGAGGAUGAUCCGUCACACUGGCACUGAAACACGGGCCAGACUCCUACGGGAGGCAGCAGUGAGGAAUAUUGCGCAAUGGGGGAAACCCUGACGCAGCGACGCCGCGUGGGUGAGGAAGGCUUUCGGGUCGUAAAGCCCUGUCAGGUGGGAAGAAAUGUGUAUUGGUUAAUAUCCUUUACAUUUGACGGUACCACCAAAGGAAGCACCGGCUAACUCCGUGCCAGCAGCCGCGGUAAUACGGAGGGUGCAAACGUUGUUCGGAAUCACUGGGCGUAAAGGGCGCGCAGGCGGUUUGAUUAGUCAGAUGUGAAAGCCCACGGCUCAACCGUGGAAGUGCAUUUGAAACUGUCAGACUUGAGUACCAGAGGGGGUAGUGGAAUUCCCGGUGUAGAGGUGAAAUUCGUAGAUAUCGGGAGGAAUACCGGUGGCGAAGGCGACUACCUGGCUGGAUACUGACGCUGAGGCGCGAAAGCGUGGGGAGCAAACAGGAUUAGAUACCCUGGUAGUCCACGCCGUAAACGAUGUGAACUAGAUGUAGGGGGUGUUGAUCCCCUCUGUGUCGCAGCUAACGCAUUAAGUUCACCGCCUGGGGAGUACGGUCGCAAGAUUAAAACUCAAAGGAAUUGACGG